RNAcentral lists this ribosomal RNA (215 nucleotides) under Glomeromycotina sp. RNAcentral's name for it is "partial small subunit ribosomal RNA". Lineage: Eukaryota; Fungi; Glomeromycota. The record is from RNAcentral.
GGGUCAGUAGGUUGGUCGUGCCACCGGUACGUACUGGUCUCACUGAAUCCUCCUUCCUGAAGAACCGUAAUGCCAUUAAUUUGGUGUUGCGGGGAAACAGGACUGUUACUUUGAAAGAUUAGAGUGUUUAAAGCAAACUAACGCUUGAAUACAUUAGCAUGGAAUAAUGAAAUAGGACGAUCGAUCCUAUUUUGUUGGUUUCUAGGAUUGACGUA